GAUGAACGCUGGCGGCGUGCUUAACACAUGCCAGUCGAACGAUGAAGCCCAGCUUGCUGGGUGGAUUAGUGGCGAACGGGCGAGUAACACGUGAGUAACCUGCCCUUAACUCUGGGAUAAGCCUGGGAAACUGGGUCUAAUACCGGAUAGGAGCGCCUACCGCAUGGUGGGUGUUGGAAAGAUUUAUCGGUUUUGGAUGGACUCGCGGCCUAUCAGCUUGUUGGUGAGGUAAUGGCUCACCAAGGCGACGACGGGUAGCCGGCCUGAGAGGGUGACCGGCCACACUGGGACUGAGACACGGCCCAGACUCCUACGGGAGGCAGCAGUGGGGAAUAUUGCACAAUGGGCGAAAGCCUGAUGCAGCGACGCCGCGUGAGGGAUGACGGCCUUCGGGUUGUAAACCUCUUUCAGUAGGGAAGAAGCGAAAGUGACGGUACCUGCAGAAGAAGCACCGGCUAACUACGUG
Molecule: ribosomal RNA, 466 nt
Filed under: uncultured bacterium
Lineage: Bacteria
Description: partial 16S ribosomal RNA
Rfam family: Bacterial small subunit ribosomal RNA
Source: RNAcentral